This is a long non-coding RNA of Bubalus bubalis (water buffalo), 351 nucleotides long. RefSeq lists it as uncharacterized. The record is from RefSeq and is a predicted model, not a curated record. The transcript is spliced from 3 exons. Lineage: Eukaryota; Metazoa; Chordata; Mammalia; Artiodactyla; Bovidae.
UUAGGCCUUGAGGUGAAGGCCUUGGUGUGAAUGAGAAGACAGGUCAGCUGAAGGAGUCACAUCAGAUCAGAAGAGGGAAAAGUCCCAGAGUCUACCAGAGUCAAGGAAGGUGAAGUCCUCGUUCUGAGGAAGUGGCAGUCUGCGGGUAAGCUACAUCAGCUCAGCAGAGGGAAGAGUCCUGGAUUCUGCCAGAGUUUAAGGCCCGUGGGAUCCCAUCUCCUACCAUCCUGCUAACACUUCCACCUACUCCCUCCAACAAGACUUAUCAUGCCUUACUCUCCAAAGUGUCCACGCCUCACAUUUGAGCCAGGCUUUCAUACCCUAAGUGAGAUACAAGGCUUGCUGAUGGUU